AUUUUAUGAUGUGGACAUUGUAACUGCAACUCCCCAAAUCUUUUCCAAGCUUCGAAGAAUUCCUCCGUAUGCUUUUGUCUAAAAGUUUGUAUCUUGUUUCUCAACU
Molecule: small nucleolar RNA, 106 nt
Filed under: Thalictrum thalictroides
Lineage: Eukaryota; Viridiplantae; Streptophyta; Magnoliopsida; Ranunculales; Ranunculaceae
Description: Plant small nucleolar RNA R71
Rfam family: Plant small nucleolar RNA R71
About the family: R71 is a member of the C/D box family of snoRNAs containing the C (UGAUGA) and D (CUGA) box motifs. Multiple nearly identical copies of this snoRNA have been identified in Arabidopsis, and it is thought to function as a 2'-O-ribose methylation guide for 18S ribosomal RNA.
Source: Rfam by way of RNAcentral